UACGUAGGUGGCAAGCGUUGUCCGGAUUUACUGGGCGUAAAGAGCGCGCAGGCGGCCGAGUAAGUCGAAUGUGAAAGCCCCCGGCUCAACUGGGGAGGGUCACGCGAUACUGAUCGACUCGAAGGCAGGAGAGGGUAGUGGAAUUCCCGGUGUAGUGGUGAAAUGCGUAGAUAUCGGGAGGAACACCAGUGGCGAAGGCGACUACCUGGCCUGUUCUUGACGCUGAGGCGCGAAAGCUAGGGGAGCAAACGGG
Molecule: ribosomal RNA, 253 nt
Filed under: uncultured bacterium
Lineage: Bacteria
Description: partial 16S ribosomal RNA
Rfam family: Bacterial small subunit ribosomal RNA
Source: RNAcentral